AUUCAUUGAACGGCAGGAAGGGGGCUGCUGAGCUAAUGAGCAUCGCUCGUCCUUCACCGCCUCCUGCUCACUCCCAGAGCCAUAACGGGGCUGACAUCAGGUGGAAACACUAUGCUAGGUUGUAUCUAGUGCCCGUGCCUGACCUUGAAUCUUUAACUUGGACAGGAAAGAAAGUGCUUUGUGCAAGGGCCACGGCUCCAUCACGAGCUCUGCAGCCACCUUGGAGCGUACGAAGGGCAGCACCAGACUUUGCACAUCAGACUUUGCACAUCAGACUUUGCAGUGGAAGGCCACGAGCCAUGUGGCAGAGGAGUAGGGUCCCACCUGGAAAUGGUCUUGUAAUUUGGUGCCCUGACUCUGCCCCAUAUCCCCAGCAAGAGCCCAGGAAAACACGGCAGAAGUACAAGUGAAGGAGGUGCAGGCAGCAGAGCAGAGAAGUCAAGAGAGCAUCAUCCCAAAGAUGAGAGCUGACAGCCUCAGCAAGACAAUCCAGCCACGAGCAGCCUCCUUUUCCAUCUCGCAGAGGGGAAGCCAAAGCAAAGUGAAAUGGCUGGUCCCAACCAAAAAUAGGACCUGGAGCACCCGACAGCGACGCCUCUGCUUCAACUGUUCGCUCACUCCGCUUCCCUGUUGCCUAGGGAGACAGCGUGUCACCAGGAGAAAGGAGCUGUAAGAGAAGGUGCCUCUUGAGUCCUUCUCUGGACUCCAACAGGAGAAUGAUCUUCACCUGGCUUCACCAGCUCUGCCAGUUCACAUCCUCAGCUCUGAGGACCCUUAUCAAGAUGCUAGCGGUGAUGGUGACCACCCUUUGCUAGCUCCAAGCUGCAGAGAGACCAACGAGAAGUGCUGCCCACAGCCCAGUGUUCUGUAAGGAGGGGGAGUGUAAAUUUAAAGCAGUCUGGGAAAAAAAUAAAAUAAAAUAAAUGUUUUCAGAUGAAUUUCAGGUCUAGUUCUGCUCAGAAAUUAAACCUCAUCAUUUGUGAUCAACUGCACAAUUUUCUGCUGUAUCUUCUGUAUUUUGUUCUUGUUGCUAAAACCUCCACGUAAACAUUUAAUUUACCACCCUACAUUAUGACAAAGAAGGUCAGCAAGUUCGGGGUUACAUUUUGCCUGCCAGUAGCCCAUGGUAUGCCCGUGGCUCAAUGCCAUUUCCUGCCCUCAGGUUUGCACAGUUGCAGGACCAGGGCCCAGCUCCGACACGCGACGUUGAGAGCUGGCACACUGCUCAUUGCCUCUGCGUUUCAGAAGCAGAAGACUCAAAUCUUAAAAGCACUGUUUUCGUAUAGAAUGGCCUGGGUUGAAAAGGACCAUAAAGAUCAUCUAGUUUCAACCCCCCUGCUCUGGGCAGGGUUGCCAACCACCAGAGCAGGCUGCCCAGGCCCUGCUUUCUUCUUGAAAACGCUGUCAUCCCAAGGGCUCUUAAUUCA
Molecule: long non-coding RNA, 1427 nt
Organism: Oxyura jamaicensis (ruddy duck)
Lineage: Eukaryota; Metazoa; Chordata; Aves; Anseriformes; Anatidae
Exons: 2
Source: RefSeq, a predicted model, not a curated record